This is a long non-coding RNA of Sardina pilchardus (European sardine), 952 nucleotides long. RefSeq lists it as uncharacterized. The record is from RefSeq and is a predicted model, not a curated record. The transcript is spliced from 3 exons. Lineage: Eukaryota; Metazoa; Chordata; Actinopteri; Clupeiformes; Clupeidae.
AAAAGGAAAUGCAGGAAGUAUGCUGAUAGAACACACUUGUGGAAUGACGGAUCACAUGGUUCAGGAACGAUUAUACAAUGUAAUAUCGAUACUGUCACUUAAGUCACUUUGCCCUAAGUUACCAGUCAUUUUUAAAACAUCUAGUCAUAUUGUAUUUGCACUGGAUUGCACUUGUUCUUGUACUAUUUCAUAUGCAAAAGGACAGAAUGGGAAAAAUGUCACUUAUUCUUUUAUCAUGUCAUCUGUGGGUAUGAUUGCAUGGACAUUUCAGGGAGUACAAAGGAGGCAGUCAUGAAGGACAGUUUUUUUUAAAGAAAGAAAGAAAAGAAAAGAAAAGAAGAAAAAGCCAUCCCUUCAUCGGUUCAGGCUGCUCACGGACUGCUUCUCAAGGUCGCGCAGCCUCACACUCUCAAGGUGCUCACACACUGCUCCGACAAACGCCAUCAGACUCCAGCGAACAGCAGCAUUUGGCGAUGUUAGAUGGACCACGGCACGUUUCUACUCUUCCACAGUGAGAACCCUAACCCUUUAAAAUGUUGGGGUACGUUGCCGUUUGUUGAGGCAGUGUGUGGAAGCACCUUCAACCUCCACGGCUCCCAAACGAAUCUCACUCUCAUCUCAUCAUACACACAGCACAGAUGUGUGUAUUACCUUACCUGCACGGAUGAGCUGACUGGAGUGUGGAGAUGAGUAGAGGAGGAGCUGGACAUGCAUGAUGGACAUUUGAGAAGAGAUGGCCAUGAUGAAUUGGCCAUGAUGAAAGCUUGAGAAGAUUUGGGCCAGUUGGUAGAUGAUGCCAACGCUCACUUCAGUUCAGGCAACUUUAUUGAUCCCAACAAGGCCAAUUCCAUAGCAGCUUACACAGUGAAAAAAUAAAGUAACAGGAAUUAAGUAGUGAUGUGAUCAAAAUGUAACAAAAUAAUUGAUAAUUUCCACGUGUAAAUAAAUUGAA